Molecule: ribosomal RNA, 433 nt
Filed under: uncultured bacterium
Lineage: Bacteria
Description: partial 16S ribosomal RNA
Rfam family: Bacterial small subunit ribosomal RNA
Source: RNAcentral
AACGAACGCUGGCGGCAUGCCUAACACAUGCAAGUCGAACGAGACCUUCGGGUCUAGUGGCGCACGGGUGCGUAACGCGUGGGAACCUGCCCUUAGGUUCGGAAUAACUCCCCGAAAGGGGUGCUAAUACCGGAUAAUGUCUUCGGACCAAAGAUUUAUCGCCUUUGGAUGGGCCCGCGUUGGAUUAGCUAGUUGGUAGGGUAAAAGCCUACCAAGGCGACGUUCCAUAGCUGGUCUGAGAGGAUGAUCAGCCACACUGGGACUGAGACACGGCCCAGACUCCUACGGAGGGCAGCAGUGGGGAAUAUUGGACAAUGGGCGAAAGCCUGAUCCAGCAAUGCCGCGUGAGUGAUGAAGGCCUUAGGGUUGUAAAGCUCUUUUACCCGGGAUGAUAAUGACAGUACCGGGAGAAUAAGCUCCGGCUAACUCCGUG